UAAAGUGCGAUAUCUAGUGCGAUUUGCAUGAAUCUGUGAGUCAUCGAGUCUUUGAACGCAACUUGCACCUCUUGGGCAACCAAGAGGUAUGUCUGUUUGAGUACCUAAUCCCCAUCUUGUCUCUAGUUAGAGGCAGACUUGAGGUCCUAGCUCUCUUAGUUGAGGGGUAGACCUUUAAAUGGAGCAAGCUAAAGGUAUUGAAGACCUUGGCUAUGUGCUAGAGACCAGGUCGGUCUUGUCAUAACCAAGAGCCUUUGUGCCUAGCUCUCUCUGGGAGCAACCUUUUGAAAAGGUCUCAAAUCAGUCAAGACUACCCGCUGAACUUAA
RNAcentral lists this unclassified non-coding RNA (327 nucleotides) under uncultured fungus. RNAcentral's name for it is "sequence contains ITS1". The stretch from base 1 to 106 matches the Rfam family "5.8S ribosomal RNA", at positions 49 to 154 of the family's 154-position model. The record is from RNAcentral. Lineage: Eukaryota; Fungi.